UUACUACAGAACAAAGGCUGAGGCAGAUGCCUCCCUCUCACAUUCAAACAGUCUUGUCUCUUACUUAAUCAUGGCAUGCAGGGCCCUAUUUGAAGAGCACUAGUGUUAAGUGCAGUGCUAUGCCAUAUACGUGCAAGUGAUCAAGGAUCUCCGUGAAGUGCCAUAUAAAGAGCUCAGACCAGUUCUGGAGAGAUGCACCCCGGAGCAGCUGUCGCAUUGAACUGUUUAAUGAAUAUUUGAGGGAGGACUCAAAGGAGCUGUGGAGGACACACUGUCGGCGGGUAUUUAAGCAGGAGGUUACUUGUGAGCAGGAGACACGGAGGAACAUGUAUCUCUGUCUCCAUAAAGAAUCUGAAGAAUGUCUACAGAAGAACACACUGGCUAUCAGCUUCAAGCAAGGCACGAA
Xyrauchen texanus (razorback sucker) is the source of this 406-nucleotide long non-coding RNA. RefSeq lists it as uncharacterized. The transcript has 4 exons. Lineage: Eukaryota; Metazoa; Chordata; Actinopteri; Cypriniformes; Catostomidae. The record is from RefSeq and is a predicted model, not a curated record.